UGUAAAGAAAGGCUUGAUUUUUAUAGGAGAUAUGUGAAGAAAACAAGUGAGUUCCGUGAGAGAUCUGCCCAUUCGGAAGAGCGAUGGAAGGAAAAUAGCCUUGUGAGGCUUCCACUUGGGAGGAGAGAAAAAGUUGAGUGAAAAGAGCUUGGAAGAGGCUCAGUUUUGUGGAAGUUGGGAGAAAAACCGAAAGGUUUUCUCUUGCAUGCCAUGGUUGGAGCUUUAGGAAGGCAUGGGAGGUUUGGCCUAGUGAUUCCAAGCUAAGGAAGGUAAGUAGAACCUUGAUUUUGGUUAUGAUUUCUUGAGGAAAUGAGUUGGUAAUUGUGUGAGUAUGUUUGUGGUAGCAAAGGUCCUCCAAGAUUUGAAAGAAAUAGAUGCAAGCAUGUGGGUUAAUCUUGGAACGCAUGUUGAUUUUGGAGCUAGAUAAGCAAUGGUGGUGAUAGAGAAUGUGACGAAUGGUGGAUUAUAUGUGGAACUCAAGUUAAAAUCGAAAGAUAGUGAUCAACCUAACGUGCAUUCAACGACAUUUGCAGUCCAUUGCGAAUAGGUAAACGCAUCUCAUAGCACUUUAUUCUUAGUUGCUCCACUGCUACAGGUCGAGUUGUCAUAGUG
Long non-coding RNA from Theobroma umbraticum, 612 nucleotides. RefSeq lists it as uncharacterized. The record is from RefSeq and is a predicted model, not a curated record. Lineage: Eukaryota; Viridiplantae; Streptophyta; Magnoliopsida; Malvales; Malvaceae.